This 233-nucleotide ribosomal RNA is filed under the name uncultured Candidatus Saccharibacteria bacterium. RNAcentral describes it as "partial 16S ribosomal RNA". It matches the Rfam family "Bacterial small subunit ribosomal RNA", at positions 584 to 818 of the family's 1533-position model. The record is from RNAcentral. Lineage: Bacteria; Candidatus Saccharimonadota.
UAUGUCAGGUGUGAAACCUUGAGGCUCAACCUCAAGUCUAUGCCUGAACUGACAAGCUAGAGCAUGAGAGGGGUACCUGGAAUUCCCGGUGUAGGAGUGAAAUCCGUAGAUAUCGGGAGGAACACCAAUGGCGUAGGCAGGGUACUGGCUCAUUGCUGACGCUCAGGCACGAAAGCGUGGGAGCGAACGGGAUUAGAUACCCCGGUAGUCCACGCCGUAAACGAUGAAUGCUA